UACAGAGGUCCCAAGCGUUGUUCGGAUUUACUGGGCGUAAAGGGCGCGUAGGCGGCGCGGUAAGUCACUUGUGAAAUCUCUGAGCUUAACUCAGAACGGCCAAGUGAUACUGCAGUGCUAGAGUGUGGAAGGGGCAAUCGGAAUUCUUGGUGUAGCGGUGAAAUGCGUAGAUAUCAAGAGGAACACCUGAGGUGAAGACGGGUUGGUGGGCCAACACUGACGCUGAUGCGCGAAAGCCAGGGGAGCAAACGGG
This 253-nucleotide ribosomal RNA is filed under the name uncultured bacterium. Its description in RNAcentral is "partial 16S ribosomal RNA". It matches the Rfam family "Bacterial small subunit ribosomal RNA", at positions 524 to 776 of the family's 1533-position model. The record is from RNAcentral.